This is a long non-coding RNA of Panicum virgatum (switchgrass), 1382 nucleotides long. RefSeq lists it as uncharacterized. The transcript is spliced from 2 exons. NCBI's taxonomy places the organism in Eukaryota, Viridiplantae, Streptophyta, Magnoliopsida, Poales, Poaceae. The record is from RefSeq and is a predicted model, not a curated record.
AGCCAGAAAACUUACGGUCGAUCACGUGUCUCGCACAGCUCCUCCUCCUCCUUCCACCCACCAGUCAACCUUAUCUCUUUGUCAUUUCCAAUUUUCUUUCACCCAGCCUUUCUCCUCUGCUCUCUCGAUCUCCAGACAAUUCCAAUUCGUCUUCGUCCACUGGCCACCGGGGCAGCUUGGAGCGGUGGCAGAAGGGGCGGGGCCAACCUCCGGCGACCCGCGGCUUGAGUGAGGUGACAAGAAGUGAGGCGUCAUGAACACAUCUUGGAGCGGCGGAUCCGUGUGGCAUCUCGUCGGAGCGCCGGAUCCGAGCGGGCACAGCCGAGCUCUGGAGCCGUAGAUCCCUUGAGUACUAGAGGCCGCGAUGUUGUGUGAUGCCACUGCCGGCAGCAAGACAUCCUGGCAAACUACUUCACAAAAAUUGAACUGAAGGACCCUGUUGAAAAUAUUGAAGCUAAAUUGGUCCGCUAAGCUGCUGCUAAAGAAAUGAUUUGGCUGGUGAGGGAGCAACCACUUCGGUCAUCCUUGCUCAAGGGAUGAUUACUAGGGUGUAAAGGUACAUCAAUGCAGAAACCUCAUGUCUGCUUAUAUCGUAUCUGUUUUGCACGCUAUUGUGAAAGCUAUACUAAGGUUGCUUUCCCAUAUGGUAGCUGCUGGUGCUAAUCCAGUGCAGAUGACCCCUGGUAAGAGAAAACAACCAAAACCACUAGUGAAUGACAAAAGAUGUCCAAUGAGGUAAAUUCUGGUGCGGUUAUCAUCUUUAUUAUGUUGUGGACAUUAGUAUUUUUUUAACAUCUGAAAAUCAUGUUGCCACAACACAAUCACAUAUUGCAUAUGCAUAUCUGAUGAUUUAUCGCACUGUACCAGCUAGAAAGCUAACCAUAAUUACCAUAUAUGAGAUAUAUCUAUUAUUGCUAUAGGCCGUUUUCAAUUCAGACUAUGUGUGCAACAUGGCUUGCCCUGUUUUAUAUGUGUCGGUCAAAUAUGUGCGUAACUCAUAUCGUUAUGGAGUUUGUUAUGUGCUACACCAGCACAACCAAUUUUCAAUCUUUUCGGCACUAAAAAAAAUCCUUCACAUUCAUUGCACAUCACAUCAGUUCUGAAUGAGUACUCAUGUUGGAACAACUUGUUUUAACUAUGCAGGUAUUACACUUUCUUUCAUGUCUCAACUCAAGGAGCUUAGAGAUAGAAGGAGGUCUUGUACCUAGGCCUCUUAGAAUCUCAUUCUGGCUCUUCUGUAAUUUUGUUCAAUUAGCUGGCACGUGCUCUUGGCCUACCACUGGAGUGGCUAGAAAACUACUGCAUAUAACAAGGCUGCUCCUAUUUUUAUUUGUACAAGCAAACGUAUUUAUUCUAUCCUGUUGAAACUAGCUUUUAUUGCA